UACAUGGGGUGCAAACGUUGCUCGGAAUUAUUGGGCGUAAAGCGCACGUAGGCGGUUAUUUAAGUCGGACGUGAAAGCCCUCGGCUCAACCGAGGAAGAGCAUCCGAAACUGAAUAGCUAGAGUACGAAAGAGGGUCGCGGAAUUCCCGGUGUAGAGGUGAAAUUCGUAGAUAUCGGGAGGAACACCGGUGGCGAAGGCGGCGACCUGGGUCGAGACUGACGCUGAGGUGCGAAAGCGUGGGGAGCAAACAGG
Molecule: ribosomal RNA, 253 nt
Filed under: uncultured bacterium
Lineage: Bacteria
Description: partial 16S ribosomal RNA
Rfam family: Bacterial small subunit ribosomal RNA
Source: RNAcentral